Long non-coding RNA from Canis lupus familiaris (dog), 2141 nucleotides. RefSeq lists it as uncharacterized. The transcript has 3 exons. The record is from RefSeq and is a predicted model, not a curated record. NCBI's taxonomy places the organism in Eukaryota, Metazoa, Chordata, Mammalia, Carnivora, Canidae.
CCCUUACUUAGGGGCAGUUUAAAAUCAAUGAACUCUAACUCUUCCUGCCAGGCGCAGCAGACACCAUUAGACACCUGUACGUGCCUCAACCUCCCCUGCCUUCCGCCCCUACUGGGACCACAGCCAGAGCAGCUGCACGGUGCACUACGCCCAUGCCAUGCGCUUCUCACCUCCCUGAGGACCUCUCUACUGGCUUUGGCUAAGUUCUCCUAAAGCAGACUUUGAGGUGCAAGGGAAUAUCCAGCGAGGAUUGUAGCCCCCAUGCCCGCUGUGGAGGGGCAGGGGCAGCAGCCAGCCACGUGAUGUGAUUGCAGAACGCUCCUCCUGCUGCAACUCCCCUCAGGAAGACAUCUGGAACCUGCAAGAGGAAAUGACCAUUUGCAGGGUGCCUGUGCGCUGAGUUCUGCGUAGAGUCUCUGCACAGGUUAUGAAAUAACAGGCUCGCUUUUCACCUGAUCACCAGAAGCAUGCACCAGUUGAAGUGGUCGAGAUAAAAUUCCAUCCAGCUGCACCCUGGGGAAACAUACUUUAGCUUUACAUAUUUGAGAAAUAUUCUAGAAUAGAAAUGAAACACGAGAAGAAAUCACCGAGUUGAGGAACUCAGGAAAAGAUAACCAGAUAAAGCAAAGGAUAAAAUUAUUCCUAAGAAAUAGAUACCAUAUUUUUCUGCAUAAUUGCUGAAGUUGAGCCUGAGCCACAAAUCUGCCUGUAAUGGGCAAAGCGGAGAGGGAUACACAUUUGCUUACGAGGCUCACAAAGUGUCAGUUCACUUAAGGGAGUCACAGGUCUUCCUAGCAAUGAAAGCUCAGACAAGUUUCCCUUGUGGGUCCUAAUGAAGGGAAUACUACGCAAAGGAGCGAAUUACUUCCUCAGCAUGCCCUUAAAUACCAGGGAGAAUUCAACAGGACUGCUUCCACAGCAGCAGUAAAUGGCAUUACCUACAAGGCAGCUCACCGAAAGUGGUCCAGAAGGAGUCAAGACAAUGGUCCUAGGGUGCAGCUCUCGAUUCAGGAAUACCUUCUCGAAUUUUUAAAAGAAUAGACUUUUUUGCCCAUUCAGUAAAUAUUUAUUGAGUAUUUUAUGGGUCAGGUACUUCACUGGGCAUGAGAGAGGAAGCAGUGAUAAGACAAAUGGAGUUCCUUCCUUCAGAGAAUAGCAUACUUGUUGGAAAGAUAGACCAACAACCGAAAAACACUGAGAUGUGUGCAAAAUGAGAUAACGUCUAAACGCUGAAUGUUCAGCUCCUCAACGUUCUCACCUCUGGUUGUUUUUUCCUCAGCCUAUUGCAGCUGAGCUAGUCUUAUUGUCACCCACUACUGUGUUACUGCUGUAUCACACCACCUCCAGCUCUGUUUCAUGAAAGCCAGUCUCUAGCCCACACCUCCUCCCGUAGUUCCCACUCACUGACAUCAUUCUUUAACCUCAGUGGUAUCUCCAAACUAUCAACUACAUUCCCAUUACCCAUCAGUCUGUUAGUCCCCUCUUUAUAAUUUCUUUCUGAGUCAUUUAGAUCAUAUGCUCUAUAAUUAUUAUCGCCUCCUUGAAAAUUUCCUCUCCUUAACACCUCUCUCUUCUGUCACACUUGCCUGGAAUAAAGCCAAGCCUGGUGGACUCAUUUAUCCAUGCCCGUAUUAAAUAAUAAUAAUAGUAAUAAUAAUAAUAAUAAUAAUAAUAAUACUCCUGGAGGGAAAACACACACAUGAAACACAGCUGACCAGAUUCACUCCAAAUUCAUGACCAGAAUACCUGAACAAAACACUCAACACUCCUCUUAUGUUUCCUCAGUAAAUUAGCUUUUCCAGUCUUAUGAUUAGUUUAUUCCUUCUACAGUCUCUUUCUCAAAACUUCUUUAACUAUGAAUUAAAUGUAAUUUUUCAAUUGUUCUGAUUAAAAGAUAGACACUGUCGGGUAAGAAUUUGCACUCUUCCUCCCUACCAAAUCUGUAAGUCAGCCUCAUCUAUGCUCAUCUUCUCCAUGUCUCCUGUUUCAGUGGAGGUAGCAGAGUGCCUCCAACUACAGCCCAUCUACCUCUGGAGCUCUGGAACCCUGAUCCCUAGCACCUUCUCAAGGAUUCCCUUGUCCUUGCUGCACUUUCAAUCUCUUGCUUGUUAUUGAAUCAUCCCCAUCAAUGCAUAAACAUG